This 301-nucleotide unclassified non-coding RNA is filed under the name Zea mays. Its description in RNAcentral is "misc RNA Zm00001eb338690". Lineage: Eukaryota; Viridiplantae; Streptophyta; Magnoliopsida; Poales; Poaceae. The record is from RNAcentral.
UUUGGGACUUUAGGGUUUGGGGCGGCGGCUGUCGGUCUGUGCCUGUGUGGCGGUUGCGGGUCGUCUUCACUGCUCGGUUGCUCGCGCGAGUCGCGCACCAGUCCCAACUAAUUCCGCCGCCGACGCAGCAAGCAGUGCAGCAACCAGCAAGCAGGCAAGCUGCGCGAGAAAGCAAAAGCAAGCAAGCAAACAAUAAGCCGAGCAGGCAAGCCGCGCAGGGGGCCGGCCGGCCGGGCAAGCAAGCAGCAGGCAGCGCAGCAAGCAGAGCAAGCGCAACAAGCAGGAGCAGCGCCGCAAGCAG